AAUGAACGCUGGCGGCAUGCCUAACACAUGCCAGUCGAACGGCAGCACGAUCUGGCUUUGUUGUUUGGGGGGGAGAGGCGCGGGGGUGAGAGGUGCAUAGCAACAUCUCUUUUUUUGGGGGAUAUCAUGUAGAAAGACAUACUAUAACACCGCAUUCGCUGUAGGGGAGAGCGGGGGGGAUCUUCGCCCCUCGCUCGAAUGGAUGCGCCGAUGUCGGAUUAGCUAGUUGGUGGGGUAAAGGCCCACCAAGGCGACGAUCCGUAGCUGGUGUGAGAGGAUGAUCCGCCACACUGGAACUGAGACACGGCCCAGACUCCUACGGGAGGCAGCAGUGGGGAAUGUUGGACAAUGGGCGCAAGCCUGAUCCAGCCAUGCCGCGUGAGUGAAGAAGGCCUUCGGGUUGUAAAGCCCUUUUGUCGGGGAAGAAAAGCAGCCGGCUAAUACCGCGCGUGGAUGACGGUACCAGAAGAAGAAGCACCGGCUAACUACGUG
RNAcentral lists this ribosomal RNA (492 nucleotides) under uncultured bacterium. RNAcentral's name for it is "partial 16S ribosomal RNA". It matches the Rfam family "Bacterial small subunit ribosomal RNA", at positions 29 to 507 of the family's 1533-position model. The record is from RNAcentral.